RNAcentral lists this non-coding RNA (30 nucleotides) under Mus musculus (house mouse). Lineage: Eukaryota; Metazoa; Chordata; Mammalia; Rodentia; Muridae. The record is from RNAcentral.
UGAAAACCCUAUUUCUGUGGCCCUCAUGCU